This 569-nucleotide ribosomal RNA is filed under the name Cochranella euknemos (San Jose cochran frog). RNAcentral's name for it is "partial 16S ribosomal RNA". It matches the Rfam family "Bacterial large subunit ribosomal RNA", at positions 1829 to 2597 of the family's 2925-position model. The record is from RNAcentral. Lineage: Eukaryota; Metazoa; Chordata; Amphibia; Anura; Centrolenidae.
CGCCUCUUGCCUAAAUAUAAGAGGUCCAGCCUGCCCAGUGACUCUGUUCAACGGCCGCGGUAUCCUAACCGUGCGAAGGUAGCGUAAUCACUUGUUCUUUAAAUGAGGACUAGUAUGAAUGGCACCACGAAGGUUAUACUGUCUCCUCUUUUUAAUCAGUGAAACUAAUCUCCCCGUGAAGAAGCGGGGAUAAAUAUAUAAGACGAGAAGACCCUAUGGAGCUUUAAACUAUGUGACACUUGCACUAAUCCAACACAAAUUUCAGAAAAAUAUCUUCUACCCAUGCAAAAUUGUCACCAGUUUUAGGUUGGGGUGACCACGGAGCAAAAAACAACCUCCACAUUGAAAGGAGCCUACUCCUUAGCUAAGAGUCACAUCUCCACGCAUCAUUACAAUGACAUUAAUUGACCCAAUAUAUUGAUCAACGAACCAAGUUACCCUAGGGAUAACAGCGCAAUCCUCUUCAAGAGCCCCUAUCGACAAGUGGGUUUACGACCUCGAUGUUGGAUCAGGGUAUCCCGGUGGUGCAGCCGCUACCAAAGGUUCGUUUGUUCAACGAUUAAAACCCU